GGCUUUACCCCGAAGGGAGCCCUUCCAGAAAUUCUCGAAGGCCCAAGACAAGCUUAGGCCCAGGAGGGGGUUUGGAAAUAGUUUUCAACCAGCAAUAGACGCGCCUCGGUUAGUACCUCAUUAGCUGCGUCAUUGCCCCAAGCGCAAAGAU
RNAcentral lists this small nuclear RNA (151 nucleotides) under Arabis alpina (gray rockcress). Its description in RNAcentral is "snRNA ENSRNAG00050204571". Lineage: Eukaryota; Viridiplantae; Streptophyta; Magnoliopsida; Brassicales; Brassicaceae. The record is from RNAcentral.